Molecule: ribosomal RNA, 542 nt
Filed under: uncultured Fidelibacterota bacterium
Lineage: Bacteria; Pseudomonadati; Fidelibacterota
Description: bacterial SSU rRNA
Rfam family: Bacterial small subunit ribosomal RNA
Source: RNAcentral
UAGAGUUUGAUCCUGGGCUCAGGGACGAACGCUGGGCGGGCGUGCUUAAUACAUGCAAAGUCAAAGGAGAACGUUUUUCUUUCGGAAAACUAUUAAACUGGCGAACGGGUGAGUAACACGUAGGCAACCUGCCUUGGAGAUGGGGAUAACCUCGGGAAACCGGGACUAAUACCGAAUAAUGCAGCGGCUUCUUUGGAAGAUGUUGUUAAAGCGGGCUUCGGCUCGCACUUCAAGAUGGGCCUGCGUCCGAUUAGCUUGUUGGUAAGGUAACGGCUUACCAGGCGAUGAUCGGUAGCUGGUCUGAGAGGAUGAUCAGCCACACUGGGAUUGAGAUACGGCCCAGACUCCUACGGGAGGCAGCAGUAGGGAAUUUUGCGCAAUGGACGAAAGUCUGACGCAGCAACGCCGCGUGAUCGAUGAAGCUUCUAGGAGUGUAAAGAUCUGUCGUGAGAAAGAAAAAUCUGGAUGUAAAUAAUGUUUGACUUGACGGUACCUUACAAGAAAGCACCGGCUAACUUCGUGCCAGCCGCCGCGGUAAUACA